CACCGGGAUUCCCCGAGUAAGGGCGACUGAAAGGGAUGAGCCCAGCGCAUAGCCUCGCGGUCCACUGUCGGCCGUCGAGGGUUGCUGCGUUUAGGUGGAUCCAGAUCCCCCAGGCCGCUUGACCGUCUAAGUCCUUGUUUGAAUACAGUCCCCGUGAGGGUGAGAGGCCCGUAUAUGGCGGUGUCCUGUAAGAAGGCGUUAAGUGUUUUGCCCGGGCGGAGGGAUCUUCACCUUAGAGUCGGGUUGCUUAAUACUGCAGCCCUAAGCAGGUGGUAAACUCCAUCUAAGGCUAAAUAUAACCACGAGUCCGAUAGGUAACAAGUACCGUGAGGGAAAGUUGAAAAGGACUUUGAAGAGAGAGUUCAAAAGGACGUGAAACCGUUAGAAGUAUAAACGGGUGGAACCACGAAGGUCGAACGAGGGGAUUCAGCUCAUAUCGCACCUGCGGCAGCGGGGGUCGGCAAGCCCAGACGGCGUCCGUCACGGGUGGCCUUCCUCCGUCCCCCCAGCGUCCGAUGGGCUUAUUUCUCCCUCCAGUAGCAUUGCCGCGAGCCGUUGCGGGGGCCCCGAAGGCCAACCAAGUCUCGGAUUGGUAACCUUGCCCCUGACCAAGGUGAAGACCGACGGCGGUUCUGUGCGGGCGCUCGCGACGGGCACUAAAAGGAGGCGGA
Molecule: ribosomal RNA, 671 nt
Filed under: Bathypalaemonella serratipalma
Lineage: Eukaryota; Metazoa; Arthropoda; Malacostraca; Decapoda; Bathypalaemonellidae
Description: partial 28S ribosomal RNA
Rfam family: Eukaryotic large subunit ribosomal RNA
Source: RNAcentral